UUUCCUUCUUCCUCCACUGAAGGAGAUAUGCCAUGCCUUUGACAAAAUGAUGAGCUCAUACCAUAAAUCCUUCGGAAUUGCUCUGGCAGAUGAGAUCCAGCUACUUCCGUAUUCUCCCUUAGAGGCUCCAGAGGAAGACACAAAGAUUUUGAUCUCUCGCACUUCCUACUUAAUGUUCCCGUUGACUGACAUUCCCAUUAUCCUCAAAGAGUAUCCUGUGAACUCCACAGAGUCUGUAGUUGCAAUGUUAUUUUGAACUAAGCUCCAAUUUGUGCUUUCCGUGGGAGAACACUUUCUUGCUUCACCCAGCAUUUCUCCUGUUUCUUUGAUGUAAGAGAUCCUUGCUUCCAGAGGGCAGCACCUGAAUUAGCCCCUCUGCACCCUGCAUCAAAUCUGAUGAGCAGCCCAAGCAAACCAAACCGCAGUCACGUGGAACAUUUGGCUCUGCUCUCCUGCAAGGAGUUUGAGGAGAUCCUUGCUCUGAGCACCAGUAUUCCCUGGCGAUGCCAUCACCAUCCUUCCAGCUUAGUUUCUUCACCCUUCCCUGUAAAUUCUAAAAUUACAGAAAGAAAGCAAACACUGGCUGCUGAAAGAUAUUAUUCUCAUUUCUACAAGGCUUAUCUUCUGGCCCUCUAUAAUACCUUGGCAACCCCACAGAGGAUUCUGGUCCGGUUAUUUUUCCCAGAAUCAAGGCCUGGCUUCAUGCCACACUGAAGCAAGAAGUAUUCCCAUGAUGCUAAGGUGAUCUGAGCUGAUAAAGCAGCAGCCACUUUUCGUCCUUCCAAACACAACCCUUGAAUAGGAGGCAAAGCUUUCGAUGCGGGUAUACUCACAGUCAGCACUCAAAGGUGAGGCACCCUUAAGAUUUAUGCACUUUAUUGAAACAAACAGGAAACUGGGAAAUACUUUUUAACCACUGAGAGAUUACAGCAUUGCAAAUCAGAAGGGCAGAUCUCUGCUGCUACCUUUAAGCAGAAAUACACUACAGCAAAAAUACACUAUUAACCAUUUGUUUCAUUCAUGGCUAAUAGGCUUCACAUAGUUAACUCCCUGCCUACUCCUCUGGUUUACAUCCCUGCAUAAAAGCAGCUCCUGCUAUUUCCAGGCCUUAGGACGUAUGUUCACCUGUAAGUUAAAGGCUCAUCUUAUGCAUUUUUAUGCUGAAGAUAUUAAAAAGGGUGAGGGAAAGUCUGUUUGCAGGUACUGAUAAUGUUUGCAUGAGAACUCGAUGACCAGUGAGACAAACACACCAGCCAAAUUCGGGCACCUCUCGAGUUUCAAUUGUUUCAUUAGAGCAGGAGUUACCACACGGAGUCCAUUCCUCAGCAGGAGCAACACAGACUGCUCUGUGAGGACUGCUUUCCUGGAACAGCAGCAGCAGUGCACUGUCAGACCAAAGCUUUUCUCCUGUGAUGCAACAUUUCUAAGAAGUUCCUUUCGCCUCUCGGAUGGGAGCAGCCAGUCAUUCACUCCAACUCUUAAUUGCUGCUCUGCAAAAUCCCCAAAAGGAAUGUAACAACUUGUUUCUCACUGUGAAAAUGGGAGGUUCUCCACUGCAAGCUUUAAGCCUUCGGCUGAAUACCUGCUGAACAUCUGGCUUGGGAUCAAGGUUUGCUUUUAUGGUUGUCCAUGCCCUGCUACAACGGGUGGACACAUUGCUAGAUUAAUACUACCAACAGAAGCGGGGUGGAUAGACUCCCUUCCUUCCUCCUCUUACCCCCAGUAAAUGCAGCAGCUGCAGCCUGACAGAACACGCCAGUCUUUCAGAAAGACUCAAAUACCACAAGAAAAAGCCUCAAGCACAGCAUGGCCCCAUGGAAAGCAGAGAAAGGCUGCUGCGAGCAGCAUGGGACACGUGCCCCAGGAUGCACAGCUCAUGAGUGAGCAUACAUGUGCACGUGGGAAGCAUCUCUAAUCCCCUGAAUACUAAACGUGAACCCCUUUUAUCUGGUAUAUGCUUUGAUUUUCUUCCUAAGAAAUAGCAAGCAUGUAUGUUUGGCAUAAGAAAGCUUUCAUCAUGCGAGAUCCCCAAAGCACGCAAAAUGACGGUCCAGGCAUGCUAACUGCACCACAGGGCAAAUUUCUCUUUUCCAAACCUCAGCAAAAUUCAUACAUUCCUUCUAAAUCCAGUUGCAAACCGCUAUCCUGAAGGCACUAAUACUGAAUGCAGGUAUUGAUAGUGCCAAGCAGUAAAUCUGCACCCAUAAGGAGCACGUAGUUCAACCAGAGCCCACAGCAAGGGGAAGGUAACCAACCGACCAAAGGAAAAAGGAUGCACCUAGAGCAAACAAUUGCAAACCUUGUAGGGAGACACAGAUUAGCAGUCUAAUUAGAACCACCAGAUAACCACAUGUAAAAUAGGGUUUUUAGUGCAUUUUCAAAGCACUGUGACCGGAAGACACGUUACAUCCAUCUAAAAGGAUGAAUUCUGCUCUAGGCACUCCAGUGUUAAUGUACUGCAACUCCAGUGACUUCAAAGGGGUUGCUGCAGAUAUAAAGCAGUGUAGCCAGAAGCACUGGCUGGUAGCCUGCAUAAACAAGCAAAAAAGAUUUUCAUUUUUUAAGAAGCCAUAAAAAAUAGUUCAAGCUAAUUACGUGACAGGGGCCUGGGUGUGAAAUAGCAACUGCAAAGCCCCGGGGAUCAAGACAGGAACCUUUGAUUUGCUCUCUUCAGCUUAUAAAGUCUUCUGAAUACUUUUGCUCUAACAGCUUUUCUUCUUCCCAUUGCAAGCUGCACACAUUACUCUGAUGCUGCUCUCCAGAGGCCCCCACCAUUGCUCUGUACUAAAUCUCAAUCCUUUGUCUUACAAUCUGAGGCUGAUUUCAGGUUGCAGAGCUAAACCAGCAGCUGUCUCCAAGCAGAAAGCCCAUUUCGUGUUCACCUUAUGGAGCAGCAGCGUUAGAGCAGCUGAAAUCACAACCACCCCAUGAGCAAAGUUUCAAACCUCUCUGAAAGUCCCUGAAGUUGAAAUAUUAAUCUGGAAAGCACUGAAUGUGUGUUUCUGAAGCUCAGUUUGGAAUGAGAAACAAAAGUUCUGGAGCCUGUGGGCUGACACCGUGUCUACUCGGUAUUAAAAUGCAGAGCAGAAUCUAAGCUGUCUCUGCAGAAAAACAACUGAGAAACAAAUAUCUGUGUUAUGUAUGAUAACUGAGCCCUCCUAGGAAGGCACUGCUAGCAGCUCUGCUCCCUCACCCGCCUGACGUGCCGACACACCCAGGCUAGACAGUAAAUUUAUUCAACCACAUUCAUUUCUCCUGGUCCUUAAGUCACAAGUGGUGAAAUCUCAUUCAUUUAUGCAAGCAACUGGAAGAUUUAUUGUAAAUAAAAGUUCUGCACAUUACACAACUGGCUCAAAAUCAUAAUUAGAGUUGCACUGGGAAACAUGUUUUAUUUAUUCUGACAGUAGUCUGGCUUCAAUAAUCGUAGCAUGAUAAAUGCUCCUGAAGUUUGCAGAGUUUCAGCAACUACAGAGCUUAUCACAGACGUGGAAGUGAAAACAUCUGAAUAGGUUUGAUGUGGCUUACAAGAGGUCCUGAGCAGUUCUGUUGCAUAGCAUCAUUUUACAUCAGCACCAGGCUACCAAGAGCUGGUGGGAGUGUCCUCCUUCACUGUAAAUCAAAGAAAUGAGAUGUUCUGCUGCUUCUAAACUUCCGAGAUCUCCUCCCAAAAGCUGGGCCAUGUCUGCACGAAUUAGUGUGGUUCUGCAGUGGGGAGAAAUGACAGUCGGAUUGCUGAGCCGACAGACCCUCUGGAAAAGGGUCAGUGACACCAUUAAUAGGAUGCAGAUUCCCCAUCUCUAGCUGUUCUGCACCCUGCCAAGAGUUCUAGUGCUUUCUUCCUUUAUAGUUUUAAGCACAAUUUCAGGCCCAUAAAACAUCAGAGAAGACAGAAGCUCUUAUCCCAGCCCUGGCGGGCCACGCACGCUGCGAAUACCUUGAACGAAUGAUGCUGAGCUCUCACCGGUCCCCAUCUGUUCAAGGGUAUUUUAAAACAUACCAAAUCAGGUUUACCCCGAUAGCAUUUACUGCUGCUCUGAGACUAAUAAAUGGCUCUGAGUGCAAUCAAACAUUUAUCUGGCUUUGUUCGUUCUUGAAGAAGAGAGGAGCCCAGUCUCCUUGCUCCUCGGGCAGAGCAUCCUCAGCUGCACUUGCUCCAGCCCAGCCACAGAGCAAGAUCGCCUCAACACUCACCAAGAGCCCGAUCCAGCUGUCAAGUUCUUUCAAUACAGAGAAUCAAAGCAGUUUAUUUUCAGAAUACCACAGAGGUUAUGUAUGGGACGGCCCAGAGCCACAGCUAUGUACUUCACAGGAGUAAAACAAACUCUACUAUCAGUACACACGGUAGCCACUUUCACAAAUACUUUAGCCAGCCUGUGCUAAAGUUAGAGCAGCUUUCAGGUCACGUUACAAAAAACCAUUGUUUAUGUUGCUAUAAAAAGAACUUCCUGGUAGCCAGGAGGGUGGCACCCAGCAGCACAUUGCUGCAAGUCCCAGGGAGAGAGCGUGGAAACCUUUCCCAGCACCCACUCUGCAGUGCCCACGGAUGGCAGUGGUGGCACCAGGUGAGUUUGCUGCACGGCACAGCACAGUUGGCCUAGUUGAUGCUAAGAGUGAGACCAAAGAUGCUUCCUCAUUUUUUAAGGAUCUUCUCUUUUUUCUUUACUCCUCUCCCUCCCCCGAGGUGCACACACCCCUUAGAAGCGUGCUGUGAAAAACAGAGCGCAAUUCCUUAUGAAGAGAUGCCACCCAUGCCCUCCGCAGGGGUUCCCCAGCUGUCUGCUGCAGUGCAGCUCGUGAGCACUGUGUGUUCAGCACAGCUCCGUGGCAGAGAAGACACAAAACAGAAACUGCUGCCAUAGAAAUACCACUGGUGGGAAGGUUUAAGGGACAUGGGAAGGAUACCCAGGUAUUUUAGGAAAGCAGCGAUGGGGGAAUGGCACACUUACAGCCAUUAAUCAUAUUCUGCACAUAGGAAAGCAAGUAACCUUUCAUUGAUUACUAAACUAAGAAAGCAGCCUUUGCAUAACCAAAUGCGAGCAUUAAAAAAACCCAUUAGGCUGUAACUGUGAAGCUUGCCUCAGCUUGCCACUGAGAUGCAUUU
This 5101-nucleotide long non-coding RNA is filed under the name Gallus gallus (chicken). Its description in RNAcentral is "lncRNA (ENSGALG00010028714.1)". Lineage: Eukaryota; Metazoa; Chordata; Aves; Galliformes; Phasianidae. The record is from RNAcentral.